This 497-nucleotide ribosomal RNA is filed under the name uncultured bacterium. RNAcentral's name for it is "partial 16S ribosomal RNA". It matches the Rfam family "Bacterial small subunit ribosomal RNA", at positions 28 to 507 of the family's 1533-position model. The record is from RNAcentral.
GAUGAACGCUGGCGGCGUGCCUAAUACAUGCAAGUCGAACGAACAGACGCUGAGCUUGCUCCUCGCACGUUAGCGGCAGACGGGUGAGUAACACGUGUAUACCCUACCUGUCAUACUGGGAUAUCUACGGGAAACCGGCGCUAAUCCCGGAUAAUCUAUUGAAGCACAGGGUUCGAUAGUGAAAGACGGUUUUGCUGUCACUUAUAGCUGCAUCCGAGCUGCUUUAGCUAGUUGGUAAGGUCACGGCUUUCCAAGGCAACGAUGCGUAGCCGACCUGAGAGGGUGAUCGGCUACACGGGAACUGAAACACGGUCAAGACGCCUACGGGAGGCAGCAGUAGGCAAUCUUCGGCAAUUGGCGAGAGCAUGGCGGAGCAGUGCCGCGUGAGUGACGAAAGUCUUGGGAUCGUGAAACUGGGUUAUGAGGGAAGAACAAAUGUGUAAGUAAAUAUGCACGUCUUGACGGUACCGAAUCAGAAAGCCACGGCUAACUACGUG